UGCUAUGAUUUUUUAUGUUUCAUAGAGUGAUUAUCAUCACAGAAGCUCAAGCAUUACGUAAAUACAAACGCAUAUACCCCGACCUGGUAAUUCUGCUUCUGGAAAUUUACCUUCAGGUCCACCCGCACAUCUACAAACUGAUGCAUAUUCAAUGUUAUGUACUGCAGCACUGUUUAUAAGAGCAAAAGACUGGAAACAGCCUAAAUUUCCAUCUAUAAAUCUGUUAAACUGACAGGAAGUUUUUAUAAACAAUAACAGCACUUACAUUUUGAAUUCGGUAUGUGAAAUUAUUAAUCUUCACUUUUUAACUUAUUUUUUUUCCAGCCUAGCAUUAUAUAUUGAUAGGAAAUCCAUUAAAAGUAGAUCACAAAAUCUACUUUUCAAAA
Molecule: long non-coding RNA, 386 nt
Filed under: Homo sapiens (human)
Lineage: Eukaryota; Metazoa; Chordata; Mammalia; Primates; Hominidae
Description: non-protein coding lnc-FRG2-11:1
Source: RNAcentral